This 732-nucleotide ribosomal RNA is filed under the name uncultured Gammaproteobacteria bacterium. RNAcentral's name for it is "bacterial SSU rRNA". It matches the Rfam family "Bacterial small subunit ribosomal RNA", at positions 56 to 780 of the family's 1533-position model. The record is from RNAcentral. Lineage: Bacteria; Pseudomonadati; Pseudomonadota; Gammaproteobacteria.
UGCAGUCGAACGGAAACGAAACUAGCUUGCUAGUAGGCGUCGAGUGGCGGACGGGUGAGUAACGCGUAGGAAUCUGCCUGAUAGUGGGGGAUGGCCCGAAGAAAUUCGGAUUAAUACCGCAUAAUCUAUUCGUAGUAAAGUGGGGGACUUUCGAGCCUCACGCUAUCAGAUGAGCCUGCGUAAGAUUAGCUUGUUGGUAGGGUAAAAGCCUACCAAGGCAACGAUCUUUAGCUGGUCUGAGAGGAUGAUCAGCCACAUCGGGACUGAGACACGGCCCGAACUCCUACGGGAGGCAGCAGUGGGGAAUAUUGGACAAUGGGGGCAACCCUGAUCCAGCAAUACCACGUGUGUGAAGAAGGCCUGAGGGUUGUAAAGCACUUUCAAUUGUGAAGAAAAGUUAGCGGUUAAUAACCGUUGACCUUGACGUUAACUUUAGAAGAAGCACCGGCUAACUCCGUGCCAGCAGCCGCGGUAAUACGGAGGGUGCAAGCGUUAAUCGGAAUUACUGGGCGUAAAGCGCGCGUAGGCGGUUUGUUAAGUCGGAUGUGAAAGCCCAGGGCUCAACCUUGGAAUUGCACCCGAUACUGGCUAACUAGAGUACGAUAGAGGGUGGUAGAAUUUCUUGUGUAGCAGUGAAAUGCGUAGAUAUAAGAAGGAAUACCAGUGGCGAAGGCGGCCACCUGGAUCGAUACUGACGCUGAGGUGCGAAAGCGUGGGGAGCAAACGGGAUUA